This 360-nucleotide transfer RNA is filed under the name uncultured Microcystis sp. RNAcentral describes it as "partial 16S-23S ribosomal RNA intergenic spacer". The stretch from base 134 to 207 matches the Rfam family "tRNA". Lineage: Bacteria; Bacillati; Cyanobacteriota; Cyanophyceae; Chroococcales; Microcystaceae. The record is from RNAcentral.
AAAGGGAGACCUAAUUCGGGUAUAAGACGAAAAAAAAGUAGUCCCUACCAAGAAUCAAUCCCAAAAGGUCGGAACGAGGUAUGAGGCUUUCAAACUAGGUUCUGGGUUCAUAAAAGACCUGAAUCAGGAACAAGGGCUAUUAGCUCAGGUGGUUAGAGCGCACCCCUGAUAAGGGUGAGGUCCCUGGUUCGAGUCCAGGAUGGCCCACCUGCACAGGUGGCAAAAACAAGAGAAACGAGGAAUCAGCACCUUAUCUUAUAUACAUAUAUAAGAGAGAAUGCUGGCUCUGAGUACAGAGUCCAGAGGAACCUUGAAAACUGCAUAGAGCUAGGUGAAAAAGCCAAAAAAGAAGACCGCAAG